This 396-nucleotide ribosomal RNA is filed under the name uncultured bacterium. Its description in RNAcentral is "partial 16S ribosomal RNA". It matches the Rfam family "Bacterial small subunit ribosomal RNA", at positions 523 to 918 of the family's 1533-position model. The record is from RNAcentral.
AUACGGAGGAUGCGAGCGUUAUCCGGAUUUAUUGGGUUUAAAGGGUGCGCAGGCGGCUUGUCAAGUCAGCGGUCAAAUUUCGGCGCUCAACGCCGUACCGCCGUUGAAACUGGCUGGCUGGAGUGCGUGGGAGGAUGGCGGAAUGCGCGGUGUAGCGGUGAAAUGCAUAGAUAUCGCGCAGAACCCCGAUUGCGAAGGCAGCUGUCCAUCACGCCACUGACGCUCAUGCACGAAAGCGUGGGUAUCGAACAGGAUUAGAUACCCUGGUAGUCCACGCGGUAAACGAUGAUAACUAGUUAUCCGGCUAAAUUGGUAGCUGGGUGACCGAGCGAAAGCGUUAAGUUAUCCACCUGGGGAGUACGCCGGCAACGGUGAAACUCAAAUGAAUUGACGGGG